AGAGUUUGAUCCUGGCUCAGAUUGAACGCUGGCGGAAUGCUUUACACAUGCAAGUCGAACGGUAGAGGGGGCAACCCCUUGAGAGUGGCGAACGGGUGAGUAAUGUAUCGGAACGUGCCCAGUCGUGGGGGAUAACGUAGUGAAAAUUACGCUAAUACCGCAUACGAUCUAUGGAUGAAAGCGGGGGAUCGCAAGACCUCGCGCGAUUGGAGCGGCCGAUAUCAGAUUAGGUAGUUGGUGGGGUAAAGGCUCACCAAGCCAACGAUCUGUAGCUGGUCUGAGAGGACGACCAGCCACACUGGAACUGAGACACGGUCCAGACUCCUACGGGAGGCAGCAGUGGGGAAUUUUGGACAAUGGACGCAAGUCUGAUCCAGCCAUUCCGCGUGCAGGACGAAGGCCUUCGGGUUGUAAACUGCUUUUGUACGGAACGAAAAAGCUCUUAUUAAUACUAGGAGUCCAUGACGGUACCGUAAGAAUAAGCACCGGCUAACUACGUGCCAGCAGCCGCGGUAAUACGUAGGGUGCAAGCGUUAAUCGGAAUUACUGGGCGUAAAGCGUGCGCAGGCGGUUAUAUAAGACAGAUGUGAAAUCCCCGAGCUUAACUUGGGAACUGCAUUUGUGACUGUAUAGCUAGAGUACGGCAGAGGGGGAUGGAAUUCCGCGUGUAGCAGUGAAAUGCGUAGAUAUGCGGAGGAACACCGAUGGCGAAGGCAAUCCCCUGGGCCUGUACUGACGCUCAUGCACGAAAGCGUGGGGAGCAAACAGGAUUAGAUACCCUGGUAGUCCACGCCCUAAACGAUGUCAACUGGUUGUUGGGUCUUCACUGACUCAGAACGAAGCUAACGCGUGAAGU
Molecule: ribosomal RNA, 856 nt
Filed under: uncultured bacterium
Lineage: Bacteria
Description: bacterial SSU rRNA
Rfam family: Bacterial small subunit ribosomal RNA
Source: RNAcentral